Pseudophryne corroboree (corroboree frog) is the source of this 273-nucleotide long non-coding RNA. RefSeq lists it as uncharacterized. The transcript has 3 exons. NCBI's taxonomy places the organism in Eukaryota, Metazoa, Chordata, Amphibia, Anura, Myobatrachidae. The record is from RefSeq and is a predicted model, not a curated record.
AAAAAUGCUGAUAUUCGGUUGUCAGCACUCCUAGGAGGCUAGAAUCAAUAAUUCCUAUAGGCGGUUUGACAAAGAUUUUACGCCAAAACUAUCUUUAAGGCAGUCCAUAUAAAACAUCAUCACUUAAUUGGUUAUACUUUUUAGAAGAAAUAUCCAUUAGGAGUCCGGAUAUUAGAGCUUCACUUAUUAAGUCCCGACAUAUUUCGAAUAAUCCUUUUUUGAGGAUAGGAUCAUCUAUACAAAUCCAUUGAGAGCAAAUUAGUCCUCUUUCUA